This 253-nucleotide ribosomal RNA is filed under the name uncultured bacterium. Its description in RNAcentral is "partial 16S ribosomal RNA". It matches the Rfam family "Bacterial small subunit ribosomal RNA", at positions 524 to 776 of the family's 1533-position model. The record is from RNAcentral.
UACGUAGGGGGCAAGCGUUGUCCGGAUUUAUUGGGCGUAAAGAGCGUGUAGGCGGCCAGGUAGGUCGGCUGUGAAAACUCGAGGCUCAACCUCGAGAUGUCGGCCGAAACCAUCUGGCUAGAGUCCGGAAGAGGAGAGUGGAAUUCCCGGUGUAGCGGUGAAAUGCGCAGAUAUCGGGAAGAACACCCGUGGCGAAGGCGGCUCUCUGGGACGGUACUGACGCUGAGGCACGAAAGCGUGGGGAGCAAACAGG